RNAcentral lists this ribosomal RNA (157 nucleotides) under uncultured Gram-positive bacterium. Its description in RNAcentral is "partial 16S ribosomal RNA". It matches the Rfam family "Bacterial small subunit ribosomal RNA", at positions 335 to 504 of the family's 1533-position model. The record is from RNAcentral.
ACUCCUACGGGAGGCAACAGUGGGGAAUAUUGCACAAUGGGNGGAAGCCUGAUGCAGCAACGCCGCGUGCGGGAUGACGGCCUUCGGGUUGUAAACCGCUUUCGCCUGUGACGAAGCGUGAGUGACGGUAAUGGGUAAAGAAGCACCGGCUAACUAC